Molecule: ribosomal RNA, 274 nt
Filed under: uncultured bacterium
Lineage: Bacteria
Description: partial 16S ribosomal RNA
Rfam family: Bacterial small subunit ribosomal RNA
Source: RNAcentral
AUACGAAGGGGGCAAGCGUUGUUCGGAAUAACUGGGCGUAAAGCGCACGUAGGCGGAUUGUUUAGUUAGAGGUGAAAUCCCAGGGCUCAACCCUGGAACUGCCUUUAAUACUGGCAGUCUAGAGACCGAGAGAGGUGAGUGGAAUUCCGAGUGUAGAGGUGAAAUUCGUAGAUAUUAGGAGGAACACCAGUGGCGAAGGCGGCUCACUGGCCCGGUACUGACGCUGAGGUGCGAAAGCGUGGGGAGCAAACAGGAUUAGAAACCCUAGUAGUCC